AGUAUAAGAAAUAGAUAAUUUGCAGAAAUAUGUAAUUCAUGGUGCUUUAGUCAACAUUUAAAUUUUCUGACUUUAAAAAUGACUUUAGGGAUGGGGUUGUAGCUCAGUGGUACAGCACUUGCCUAGCACAUGUGAAGCCCUGGGUUCGAUCCUCAGCACCACAUAAAAAUAAAUAAAAUAAAGGUAUAGUGUCCAUCUACAACUGAAAUUUUUCUUAAAAAAAAAAAAAAAAAAAAAGGUUCCCUAAAGUUUAGAAUUUGAUUCUAUUUCAAAGCUUUCACAAUUAAACUUUUCUUUAGGGAAGUGGAGUCAUGAGGUCAAGUGCUCACAUGAGAGUGACUGCACCCAUAAAAUAACCAAACCAGUUUGUGUGUUCAUCAUGGAUUAGUGUUAAUCUUUUUAAUUAAGAUUAAAUGAGGGGCUAGGGCUGUAGCUCAGUGGCAGAGUAUCUGCCUAGCAUGUGUGAGACUGGGCUCUAUCCUUAGCACUGCAUAAAGAUAAAAUAAAGGCAUUCUGUCCAUAUACAAGUAAAAAAAAUUUUUUUAAGAAGAUCAAAUGAUUUCCUUCUUGAUGGACUUAACAACUUAUCUCUAAAUUUACUACAAUAUCU
RNAcentral lists this long non-coding RNA (610 nucleotides) under Marmota monax (woodchuck). Lineage: Eukaryota; Metazoa; Chordata; Mammalia; Rodentia; Sciuridae. The record is from RNAcentral.